RNAcentral lists this ribosomal RNA (492 nucleotides) under uncultured bacterium. RNAcentral describes it as "partial 16S ribosomal RNA". It matches the Rfam family "Bacterial small subunit ribosomal RNA", at positions 29 to 507 of the family's 1533-position model. The record is from RNAcentral.
AGUGAACGCUGGCGGUAGGCCUAACACAUGCAAGUCGAACGGCAGCACAGUAAGAGCUUGCUCUUACGGGUGGCGAGUGGCGGACGGGUGAGGAAUACAUCGGAAUCUACUUUUUCGUGGGGGAUAACGUAGGGAAACUUACGCUAAUACCGCAUACGACCUACGGGUGAAAGCAGGGGAUCUUCGGACCUUGCGCGAUUGAAUGAGCCGAUGUCGGAUUAGCUAGUUGGCGGGGUAAAGGCCCACCAAGGCGACGAUCCGUAGCUGGUCUGAGAGGAUGAUCAGCCACACUGGAACUGAGACCCGGUCCAGACUCCUACGGGAGGCAGCAGCGGGGAAUAUUGGACAAUGGGCGCAAGCCUGAUCCAGCCAUACCGCGUGGGUGAAGAAGGCCUUCGGGUUGUAAAGCCCUUUUGUUGGGAAAGAAAAGCAGCAGGUUAAUACCCCGCUGUUCUGACGGUACCCAAAGAAUAAGCACCGGCUAACUUCGUG